AUCAAUAAGCGGAGGAAAAGAAACUAACUAGGAUUCCCUUAGUAACGGCGAGUGAACCGGGAUGAGCUCAAAUUUAAAAUCUGGCGUCUUUCAGGCGUCCGAGUUGUAAUCUAUAGAGGCGUUUUCCGCGCCGGACCGCGUCCAAGUCUCUUGGAAUAGAGUAUCAAAGAGGGUGACAAUCCCGUACUUGACGCGACAACCGGUGCUCUGUGUUACGUUCUCAAUGAGUCGAGUUGUUUGGGAAUGCAGCUCUAAAUGGGUGGUAAAUUCCAUCUAAGGCUAAAUAUUGGCGAGAGACCGAUAGCGAACAAGUACCGUGAGGGAAAGAUGAAAAGCACUUUGGAAAGAGAGUUAAACAGCACGUGAAAUUGUUAAAAGGGAAACGAUUGAAGUCAGUCGUGUGAAAGGUAUUCAGCCGUCUCUGGCGGUGUAUUUGCCUUUCACGGGUCAACAUCAGUUUGAUCCGGUAGAAAAAGGCGGGAGGAAGGUGGCACCCUCGGGUGUGUUAUAGCCUCCUGUCAUAUGUGCCGGACCAGACUGAGGAACGCAGCUUGCCGCAAGGCCGGGGUUCGCCCACGUACAAGCUUAGGAUGUUGACAUAAUGGCUUUAAACGACCCGUCUUGAAACACGGACC
Molecule: ribosomal RNA, 635 nt
Filed under: Vishniacozyma victoriae
Lineage: Eukaryota; Fungi; Basidiomycota; Tremellomycetes; Tremellales; Bulleribasidiaceae
Description: partial large subunit ribosomal RNA
Rfam family: Eukaryotic large subunit ribosomal RNA
Source: RNAcentral